Molecule: long non-coding RNA, 1438 nt
Filed under: Homo sapiens (human)
Lineage: Eukaryota; Metazoa; Chordata; Mammalia; Primates; Hominidae
Description: non-protein coding GMDS-DT:129
Source: RNAcentral
AGGAAGCAUGCUCAUGGCAAUACCCGGAGUCUCCACUGCAAGACCAGAGUGACGGAGGCAGCAGAGCUCCUCAGCAGGCCAGGAGUCUCCAGAGGCACUGCCGAAUGUCUAAGAAGCAACCUCAUUGUAUUCCCAAGACCUGGGAAUCCAGGUCUCGCAGAUACGAUGAUACAAUCUAUAGCCAGGACAUCUCUUCAUGUGUAGUUUUCAAUGAAUACUAGGAUAAGCAACUAUCCCAGUCUUCCCAGGAUUGAGGGGCUUCUCCAGAUGCUGCACUUCUGGUGCUAAAAAUGAGAAACUGAAAUGAAUUAGUCACCCAAGGAAUGCUGACCCUGUGCUAUAUGAUCACAUUUACUCUUUAAAGCAAUGCUUUGAGACAUGAAAGCCAGAUAGGGAAGAAUUUGCAGCCUCAUACUGAUUGGCCAGUUGAGGAGUCAACUCAUCUCUCUUAUAGAAAAAAGAAGAUUACAUUUACGGAAUACAGAAUAUACUGUGCUCUCUACUUACCAAGAGAUUUCUUUCUCUACUGACAACUUUCUGUUGACGUGGUUACUGUGCAGGUUCUGACAGUCGAUUCUUUCCACCUAGUUCACUGCUGAAGCUAUAAUGAUUUCCAUUUUGCAAAAAGAGGAUGAUUACUUAUUAUCUGUGACCAUUUCUCAAUUCCAGAACAAUUGAGCUGCAUAGUCCCUGCAAUCUUAUAAAGGCAUUUGGCCUGGAAGAUGCUCUGCAGCCAUGUGCCAAGAAUAACGGCUAUAGGGACAAUGUUUCAUUAACCCCAAAGCAGCAACCUGAACCUCUUACUGUACAAUAUCUGCUCCGUUCAGAAUUAGCUCGACUUGAGUCACAGGAUGAAGCUUACCAAAAGGAAUUUCCACGUCCAAGGAAGGAACCAAGAUCACUGAGAGGUUAUAGUAUGAAAAGUGAAGAGAAAAAACCUAUUCUAAACAUUUUAUUAAUUGUCAAUAAUUAUUUUAAAAUAUUUAAUAUAGUCUCCUACCUGGUCCACUGGCAUCAAGCUGCCAAAUUUACACGGUCACUUUGGGAAGCCAGCUGGCAGGCAAACAUGGAAAGUGCUGGCUCCUAGCGUAGUGAGAAGACCACAGAUAGAUGGUAAUUUUCUUCUUUGUUUUAUUUUUCUUUUUCUUCUCUCCCUCUUUUUCUUCCCUCUUGCCUUUCCCUCCCAUUGCCCACUUUCUUUUUUUGGCUGCCGAAGAUUUAUUGCCUUUCAGUACUUAUAGAUGAUGUUUUCAUAAGUUCUAAUGAGGUCCCAGCAGUUUUUAACAAUAACAGGACAUUACUGUUCCUAAGAUAUAUUAUGUGUUUUCCCUCAUCUUUCUCCCUUGAAUGAAAUGCUUAGAAGUAGGCUAACCCCCAAUUCCCUUCCCUUUACUAUGAUAAAUGGCUCCAUUACUUAAUAGGGCUAAAUACUCUGCUG